RNAcentral lists this ribosomal RNA (374 nucleotides) under uncultured Rubrobacteraceae bacterium. RNAcentral describes it as "bacterial SSU rRNA". It matches the Rfam family "Bacterial small subunit ribosomal RNA", at positions 524 to 896 of the family's 1533-position model. The record is from RNAcentral. Lineage: Bacteria; Bacillati; Actinomycetota; Rubrobacteria; Rubrobacterales; Rubrobacteraceae.
UACGUAGGGGGCGAGCGUUGUCCGGAAUUAUUGGGCGUAAAGGGCGCGUAGGCGGCCUGGUAAGUCUGCUGUGAAACCUUGGGGCUCAACCCCAAGCGUGCAGUGGAUACUGUCAGGCUAGAGGAUGGUAGAGGCCAGUGGAAUUCCCGGUGUAGCGGUGAAAUGCGCAGAUAUCGGGAGGAACACCAGUAGCGAAGGCGGCUGGCUGGGCCAUUCCUGACGCUGAGGCGCGAAAGCUAGGGGAGCGAACAGGAUUAGAUACCCUGGUGGUCCUAGCCGUAAACGAUGAACACUAGGUGUGGGGGGAGUCGAAUCCCUCCGUGCCGAAGCCAACGCGUUAAGUGUUCCGCCUGGGGAGUACGGCCGCAAGGCUA